GCCACAUUACAAUGAAACACCAGUUCAUGUACGAUCACUGUAGUUAAGCAACCUUGACCCUGGUUAGUACUUAGAUAGGUGACUGUUUGGGAAUACUAACUGCU
Non-coding RNA from Acanthosepion pharaonis, 104 nucleotides. NCBI's taxonomy places the organism in Eukaryota, Metazoa, Mollusca, Cephalopoda, Sepiida, Sepiidae. The record is from the annotation of a GenBank genome assembly.